RNAcentral lists this transfer RNA (64 nucleotides) under Cavia porcellus (domestic guinea pig). It matches the Rfam family "tRNA", at positions 1 to 62 of the family's 71-position model. From Rfam's summary of the family: Transfer RNA (tRNA) molecules are approximately 80 nucleotides in length. Their secondary structure includes four short double-helical elements and three loops (D, anti-codon, and T loops). The record is from Rfam by way of RNAcentral. Lineage: Eukaryota; Metazoa; Chordata; Mammalia; Rodentia; Caviidae.
GGAGAUUUAGCUCAGUGGAUUAAGCGCCUGCCUUACAAGCAGGCAGUUGUGAGUUCAAUCCCCA